UUUACGGAGAGUUUGAUCCUGGCUCAGGACGAACGCUGGCGGCGUGCUUAACACAUGCAAGUCGAACGAUGAUGCCCAGCUUGCUGGGUGGAUUAGUGGCGAACGGGUGAGUAACACGUGAGUAACCUGCCCCUGACUCUGGGAUAAGCGUUGGAAACGACGUCUAAUACUGGAUAUGAUCACUGGCCGCAUGGUCUGGUGGUGGAAAGAUUUUUUGGUUGGGGAUGGACUCGCGGCCUAUCAGCUUGUUGGUGAGGUAAUGGCUCACCAAGGCAACGACGGGUAGCCGGCCUGAGAGGGUGACCGGCCACACUGGGACUGAGACACGGCCCAGACUCCUACGGGAGGCAGCAGUGGGGAAUAUUGCACAAUGGGCGAAAGCCUGAUGCAGCAACGCCGCGUGAGGGAUGACGGCCUUCGGGUUGUAAACCUCUUUUAGUAGGGAAGAAGCGAAAGUGACGGUACCUGCAGAAAAAGCACCGGCUAACUACGUGCCAGCAGCCGCGGUAAUACGUAGGGUGCAAGCGUUGUCCGGAAUUAUUGGGCGUAAAGAGCUCGUAGGCGGUUUGUCGCGUCUGCUGUGAAAUCCCGAGGCUCAACCUCGGGCUUGCAGUGGGUACGGGCAGACUAGAGUGCGGUAGGGGAGAUUGGAAUUCCUGGUGUAGCGGUGGAAUGCGCAGAUAUCAGGAGGAACACCGAUGGCGAAGGCAGAUCUCUGGGCCGUAACUGACGCUGAGGAGCGAAAGCAUGGGGAGCGAACAGGAUUAGAUACCCUGGUAGUCCAUGCCGUAAACGUUGGGCGCUAGAUGUAGGGACCUUUCCACGGUUUCUGUGUCGUAGCUAACGCAUUAAGCGCCCCGCCUGGGGAGUACGGCCGCAAGGCUAAAACUCAAAGGAAUUGACGGGGGCCCGCACAAGCGGCGGAGCAUGCGGAUUAAUUCGAUGCAACGCGAAGAACCUUACCAAGGCUUGACAUACACCGGAAACGGCCAGAGAUGGUCGCCCCCUUGUGGUCGGUGUACAGGUGGUGCAUGGUUGUCGUCAGCUCGUGUCGUGAGAUGUUGGGUUAAGUCCCGCAACGAGCGCAACCCUCGUUCUAUGUUGCCAGCGGGUUAUGCCGGGGACUCAUAGGAGACUGCCGGGGUCAACUCGGAGGAAGGUGGGGAUGACGUCAAAUCAUCAUGCCCCUUAUGUCUUGGGCUUCACGCAUGCUACAAUGGCCGGUACAAAGGGCUGCGAUACCGUAAGGUGGAGCGAAUCCCAAAAAGCCGGUCUCAGUUCGGAUUGAGGUCUGCAACUCGACCUCAUGAAGUCGGAGUCGCUAGUAAUCGCAGAUCAGCAACGCUGCGGUGAAUACGUUCCCGGGCCUUGUACACACCGCCCGUCAAGUCAUGAAAGUCGGUAACACCCGAAGCCGGUGGCCUAACCCUUGUGGAAGGAGCCGUCGAAGGUGGGAUCGGUGAUUAGGACUAAGUCGUAACAAGGUAGCCGUACCGGAAGGUGCGGCUGGAUCACCUCCUUU
Molecule: ribosomal RNA, 1522 nt
Filed under: Curtobacterium poinsettiae
Lineage: Bacteria; Bacillati; Actinomycetota; Actinomycetes; Micrococcales; Microbacteriaceae
Description: bacterial SSU rRNA
Rfam family: Bacterial small subunit ribosomal RNA
Source: RNAcentral